CUCUAUAGAACACAUCCAUACCGUUACUAUUAAGAAGCAGAACCGCAUGAGCGUACGGUUUACCUCCAACGUUCCUCAAAUCCAUGUAAACCGGAUGCGAACCAUAAAGAUCGGUGUUGAGGUUAAUAGCCGACACAUCCUCCGUGUAGAGCGUGUAAGGCUCGUUAGGGACGAGUUUGAUCCCGUUGGCUUGCGAGUUUUCACCUAACCCGUAUAUGGACGCGUCUUUAGGUAACGAGGUUGAGAUCUCGAGGUACUGGUCCUUGAACACCAUCUCGCCAAAAGCUGAGUUAGAGCUUGUGUUGAAGAGCGUUUGGCCGUUGGAUCUACGUUUCACGGCGAAGCUGAACGGGUCUGUCGUGUAGCUGAAGAUGAGCUCCGAGCCGGAGAGUUCUUGAACUGUGAUCGGAGAUUUUCUUGAUUUUCCGAUCACUUUCCCCACCGGCGGCGGCUGUUCGCGGGGGAGGAGGUUGUAGGGGACCUCCCAUCGUUGUUUCUUGGCGUCUGUGAUGUGAACGCGGAGGCGAGUAUCGGUCUCGUGUCUGUGAGAGAAUCCAACGGUUAGAAAUCGAGGAGGUAGUGUAGGGUGCGAAGUAGAGGAUUAAGAGAGUGGUGCUAGUGCUACUUACUUGACGUAGAGGCGGAGGGUGGUGAUGUCUGAGCCGUAGAUUUUGUUCUUCUGUUUGACUUGGAGAUAGCCGAUGAAUCCACCGUCUGGAGAUUCUUCGAUUGAGAUCAAACGGUAGCCUUUGCCGAUGGUGUUGGAGCAGUGGAUGGGUGAGAAACAGAGGAUUAAAGCCACGAGAAGAGAAAGAGAUGAAAAAACUAUUCGUGAAGUGACCAUGGCUAUUUUUAUUCUAGUGAUACUCCACACUCUACAGUGUUAUGUGUAUAAUGAAGAAGAGAGAAAAGACCCUCGAUUAAAGAGCUCGAUGAUAAGUUCGCGAAACACUAAACGAGGGGAUAUAAAUAGUAGAAGAAAAUGUUUAGUCGUUCUUUUAUUUAUUUUAUAAAUAUAAAAAAACUGAUAUUACUAGUAUUAUUUAUCAAAGGGUCUGAUGAUGUCAACAAAAAAAUCAAAGGGUCUGAUAUUUAUUUAUGCGUGUAUCGAUUAAAAAUCGUUAAUACGGGGGGGGGCGGGGGGGCUUAAGCGGGCGGGCUAAAUGUGAAACUGGAGUUUUUUGGGCUUAAGCGGGCGGGCUAAACGUGAAACUGGAGUUUUUUUGCGUGCAGUUCAUUCGUAAAUCAUGGCAAGAUCAAGUGAAAUUCAGAGUUUAUUCCAUAAAUCUGUAGUCAAUUUUAUUUUCUUUUAAGUUGAAUAUGUAUAACCUUUUUAGGUGUCUGGUUAGAGGUUAUUUCCGAAAACCAAUCAGCUUUCAUACCGAGGAGGGCAAUUUCUCAUAAUGUAUUGAUAACUCACGAAGUGUUACAUUAUCUCAAGACUUCGGAAGCACACAAGAAUUGGUCUAUGGCUGUGAAAACAGAUAUUAGCAAAGCCUACGAUCGUCUAAAAUGGAAUUUCUUAGAAAGAGUCAUAUUCCAAAUGGGUUUCCACAUCAAAUUCGUCAAAUAGAUGAUGCAAUGCAUAACUACUGUCACAUACUCCUUUCUAAUUAAUGAUGAGGUGGCAGGGAAAGUCAUACCUUCUCGUGGGAUUCGACAAGGUGAUCCUAUUUCACCAUAUGUUUUCAUUCUCUGCGGCGAGGUCCUUUCUGGUCUUUGCAAAGAAGAUCAGCGUGAUGGUUCGAUGACUGGUAUCAGAGUGGCCACAAAAUGCCCCCGCAUAAACCACCUCUUAUUUGCUGAUGAUACGAUGUUCUUCAUCCACACUAACCACCAGAGCUGUAUCGCCCUGAAAGAUAUUCUAUCAGAAUAUGAGAAAGCAUCAGGGCAAAUGAUUAAUGCAAACAAGUCAUCAAUAUCUUUCUCAGCAAAAACUUCUCAAGAAGAGAGAACCCGAGUAAAGCAAACACUGGGAAUUGAUAAAGAAGGGGGAGUAGGAAAGUAUUUAGGUCUACCUGAGCUAUUUGGAAGGAAGAAAAAAGAUCUCUUUGCAUCUAUAGUAGACUGUAUCAAGCAUCCAACCAGGUCCUUCUCCAGUAGGACACUUCUUCCCUUUGGGGAUCGUGCACAAUCCAGAGCAAAAGUUUGAUACCUCGUUCAUGUCGAUCCAUAGACCAUCUAUAGGGACUAGUUCAUGGAAGCGGCGGAUUUCUUCACCCCACCAAGAAACAGUCUUAGGGUUAAGGAAAUCAGGAAAGUGAACUGCACCGGGCCAUACUUGGGCCAAGAAAGGCUUUCCUUCGUACUUGAUGAACACGUCAUUGGCCAUACCUCGUUGGUAUACACCGUAGCUGGAGUUGACACCAAUACCGGGAUCGUUGAUGACGACAUACUUCAUGCCCAUCUUGUGGAUUCUGUCUAAGAAGUUUAAUAGCUUGGCACGAGGGUAGCUUAUGGGACUCAACGUGAAGUCUUUUUUGGCAUCCAUGUGAUCAUCAUCGUUCCAAAUCACAUCAAGAGGGAUCUUAGCCUUUUGGUAACUGUCCACCACGUCUUCAAUAACUGAUAAGUUACGGUAUCCCCAUCUACAUUGGUGAAAUCCUACAACACAAAUAUUGAAACAAGAUUAUAAGUACUAUAAAAUCAAAUCAAAGAUUUGCUGUAAUAAAUACUUCUUUAAUGUCACAUUGCCGAAACCAAGAUUAUAAUGUCACAUUGCCGAAACCAAGAUUUGCUUCUUCUUUAAUGUCAACUCAAUGAUAGAACCGUGGUCCAGUGGCCACCAUGGACCAAUAUCAAGAUCAUUUAGGGACCAAUUAAAAAUUGCGAGGAUCAACAUUUAACAAAAGAGGAAAGCAAAAGAACACGUCUUCACGUUCUUCUUUAUCUUUUACUAUUUAAAACCCAUAAUUAGAAAGCGACCUCCAUUUAUUCUACAACAUAUCCCACAAAAAGGGUAACCUUUCUAAAAGCUGUGUCGGAGAAAGAUAACCUCUUAACUGUGACUCCAUUACUACAUGUGUCAAUUAUUACAAGACUAUUCAACACAUAGUUCAGUUUUAAAAACCAGAUUUUCUUUUACUAAAGAACAUAAAUCUAAUAGAUUCUCAUUAGCAAAGCAACUGAUACGCAAAUCUAUUUUCAGAAACAUAAUCAUUAAUCACAAAUCCUAUAAGACAAAAUCAUCUUUUAAUUUUAUUUUACCACACAACAUUAAUUUAAUAGAUUCUCAUUAGCAAAUGGUACAUAAAUGGGUGCAAUAAAGCCCUAGGCACUAAGCAAAAAUAACUGCUAACAGCAUUUUCAACCCCAAUGCAAAAUUGACUGCAAAAAGGAGUUGAUUAUGCAGUUGUGAAAAACAAAAAAUACAAUAAAUUUUGUAAUGGGUUGUAGAUGCUAUAAAACGCCUAAAAACUUUAUUAGAUUUAGAUGUCUAUUUAUAUAGAUAAAUCAAAAAUCAAAAAUAUAUAAUCUAUUUAUUUAUUAGAUGUCUAUUUAUAUAGAUUGAAGUUUAUAACAAAAAUUAUAAUACUCAUUUAUAGCAUAAUAUAUUAUUUAGUAUAAUUCAUAACUAAUCCUAUAAAACAAAUAUCAUCUUUUAAUAUUAUUUAACUACCAAAAAAAUAUAUUAAACUGAAACACAAAGGAGAAACAGAGCAAUAAAUGUUUUUACCUAGAGACCAGUACGGCAUGGGAGCUGGCCGUCCGAUUAACGAAGUGUACUGAUCAACGACGUCGAGCGGCGAUGGUCCGGCGACGAAGUAAAAAUCAAAGACUCCUCCAAUAACUUUAUAAGUCAAAGACGUUCCUCUAUAGAACACAUCCAUACCGUUACUAUUAAGAAGCAGAACCGCAUGAGCGUACGGUUUACCUCCAACGUUCCUCAAAUCCAUGUAAACCGGAUGCGAACCAUAAAGAUCGGUGUUGAGGUUAAUAGCCGACACAUCCUCCGUGUAGAGCGUGUAAGGCUCGUUAGGGACGAGUUUGAUCCCGUUGGCUUGCGAGUUUUCACCUAACCCGUAUAUGGACGCGUCUUUAGGUAACGAGGUUGAGAUCUCGAGGUACUGGUCCUUGAACACCAUCUCGCCAAAAGCUGAGUUAGAGCUUGUGUUGAAGAGCGUUUGGCCGUUGGAUCUACGUUUCACGGCGAAGCUGAACGGGUCUGUCGUGUAGCUGAAGAUGA
RNAcentral lists this long non-coding RNA (4186 nucleotides) under Brassica napus (rape). Its description in RNAcentral is "long non-coding RNA (BNAP_LNC019140)". The record is from RNAcentral. Lineage: Eukaryota; Viridiplantae; Streptophyta; Magnoliopsida; Brassicales; Brassicaceae.